RNAcentral lists this ribosomal RNA (456 nucleotides) under uncultured bacterium. RNAcentral describes it as "bacterial SSU rRNA". It matches the Rfam family "Bacterial small subunit ribosomal RNA", at positions 340 to 786 of the family's 1533-position model. The record is from RNAcentral.
UACGGGAGGCAGCAGUGGGGAAUAUUGCACAAUGGGCGAAAGCCUGAUGCAGCUAUGCCGCGUGUAUGAAGAAGGCCUUAGGGUUGUAAAGUACUUUCAUCGGGGAGGAAAAACAAAACUAAUAAUUUUAUUUCUUGACGUUACCCGAAAAAGAAGCACCGGCUAACUCCGUGCCAGCAGCCGCGGUAAUACGGAGGGUGCUAGCGUUAAUCAGAAUUACUGGGCGUAAAGAGCACGUAGGUGGUUUUUUUAAGUCAGAUGUGAAAUCCCUGGGCUUAACCUAGGAACCGCAUUUUGAAACUGAAAUACUAGAGUAUCGUAGAGGGAGGUAGAAUUCUAGGUGUAGCGGUGAAAUGCGUAGAUAUCUGGAGGAAUACCUGUGGCGAAAGCGGCCUCCUAAACGAAUACUGACACUGAGGGUGCGAAAGCGUGGGGAGCAAACAGGGAUUAGAUACC